CGUCGCAUUCGUAUGAGUGGUGUCCGCGGUGAUGGCGGUGUCCGACGAUCUGUGUAUACAGGGCACGUCUAAUUGGAAGCAAUUUUUCUAUUCUAACUUACUCGUUUGUAUUUUAGUUUAUUACUGCGUAUUUGAAAACGAAAUAAAAAACACCGUAGGGCAAUUUUACGUAUAAUAGGCACCUACUUAUAUAUUACAUUAACAUUUAAUUAUUAAUUCGCAUUCACACUAUUCGUACAACACUAUAAUCGUUUAACGAGUUAUGAAAAUUAACAAUUAUUUGCGGAUAUACAUAGUGAAACACUCGCGUUGUGUAUUGAAUAAACGACGACGAAGUAUGCUGCAUUAUAAUAAAUAAUGUAACUUAUUAUACGUAAGUAAUAAUUAUUAUACAUUUAUACCACAGUAUUGCAGUAGAACAAGACUUGGUCGAGUUUACGGCAGUGUCCGUAUAUAUCGUAAUGAUAAUAAUAUUAUAAAUACGUCGAUAAUAUCUUUUCACCCAUUUGUAUAGUAGUCGUUACUUGCCAUCGGAGGUUACAAUAAAGCGAUAAACGCAUCCGUUAUAAUUAUAAUAAGUAUUAUUAGCCGACAGUACGUGCAAAAAUUACCAAAAGUCAUAUAGGCACAUCGGUAUAGUUUUGGAUGUACGAAAUACCAAUACAUACUAGACACGAAAACUCAGUAAUCGAUGUCGAACUGCUGUUUGCAGCAUUUUAAUGGUGGCGUUAUUUCAGAUUUUAUACCAGGCAGUACUUAGACAACAGAUCGCGGGAGAAAAAUGUCGACUGGCCCUUUAUAUAAAUAAUAAAUACUUACAGACGAUGGUCUUCUUUUAAAAUUGAUUUUCGCCAUAUUCAACGAUUUAUCAUUGACAAAAUAUAACUCACUAAUAUGGUUCCUUGCUUCGAUAAUUCGAUGCUCGAGUUUACACGUGUUGGACAGGUUAUUAUAGCAGAUGGUACAAACGUGCAGUAAGAUAUGAUGAACGAAUUCAGAAAAUAUGAUCAACCGUCAAAUAAAUAGAAAAGAGCAUUAAAAUGUUAUCCGAUCGUCAAGAGAUUCGCAAUCUUCAAUAUGCAGUUAGUAUUCGAAUCACUUAUUAAUAAAUAAAUCAGUGUAUGUACUUUUUCACUGUAUUAUCAUUAACUUUUGUUGCCAGUUGCUUUGAAUAUAGGUACAAUAUAC
Rhopalosiphum maidis (corn leaf aphid) is the source of this 1188-nucleotide long non-coding RNA. RefSeq lists it as uncharacterized. NCBI's taxonomy places the organism in Eukaryota, Metazoa, Arthropoda, Insecta, Hemiptera, Aphididae. The record is from RefSeq and is a predicted model, not a curated record. The transcript has 5 exons.